GGCUAUUCUGGAGUUGUGAUGCUCACAAGUCACAAUUUUUUGUGAGGUUUUUUUUGUGAGGUUUCUUAUGAGGUUGUCACAAUUUCGUAUUCUGCGAAAAACCUCAUAAGAAACCUCACAACAAAUUCACCACGAUAGAGAAAAGUGUAAACUUGGCGCAGUUCAAGACAUUCGUCGAGAUGGACUCCAACCUGUACCAGGCAGUCAGAGAGACUCAAAAGAACGUGAAACUCAUCAAAAGAUGAGAUUUAAGUUUGGAAGUGUUUGGAUCACCACCGGCAUCGGAUGGCAUGAGUUACCUAUUACAACGGCAAGUAGUAUUGAUUGCAUUUAAAUCAAGUCAUGCACAAUAAGUGAAUGCAAUCCUUCUCCGCUUUUUGUAAAUGAAGAUUUUUACUUUUAGGAAAACAAUGGCUCUCAAAGCGUCCAUAUUAGGUUGAUCAACUGAAGAGUGAAUGUGAAAAGAUUGCCACUUUGACUUAAAGUAUCGGCAAAUGUGCCGCAACACCAAUCGCUAGCCCGAAACUUAUUUCGUUCUCACCCAAAGCAACAAAACUCCGCAAUCUUGUCAAAAAAAGGACGACAAAUUGGUUGUCCGUCUUGGUGGCAAUGAAGGACUACAAAAAUUUGAUCUCUCUGGUUUGCUGGUACAGAGAAUCUGAUACGUUCAGACGAAUUAAGCUGGAAAACAAAGGCAAACAUGGAAUUUAAAUACGAACGCAUAAAUGUUGACAAAGAAUUCUUCAAAACACGCUCACAAAUCGGACUCAAUAACCAAGCAUAUUUCAUGCACAUAUGCAGGAAAUAUAAAAAUUAUCUAACAGCACUUCCAACUAAUGGAUUACAACCUCCUCCAAAUUAUUUAUAUAAGUAAUUCAAUUUCACUUAUGAAUAAAUGGCUAUUUUUUUUAUCAAACUGAAUAUACCAUACAACCUUCGACGUAGACAAAUUUCGUCAUCAACAAUAACAUCCAUACACCUUAUUUACCAGACCGAAAAUUUCAACCCGAAUUAGGCUGUAAUUAUUAGAACUGCCAAAAAAAAUAACAAACAAAAAAAAAAAUGGAAUAUCAAACCAACUAGAAUUGUAUAAUGGAUCAUUCACGCCCGCAUCCGCCUGUUUAGAAAAAAAAAGGAUUUUCUUUACUAAAUCUGCUGGGGCUGCAUUUUCUUUUGUUAAAAAAAAAAUGAGGAAUAUGGAGUAAUCUAAAAAGGCAAUUUCUUCUUGGUUUGGGCUUUCAAGGCCAUAUUAGUUGCAUGGGAAAUCACAUUCGCACA
This is a long non-coding RNA of Episyrphus balteatus (marmalade hoverfly), 1278 nucleotides long. RefSeq lists it as uncharacterized. NCBI's taxonomy places the organism in Eukaryota, Metazoa, Arthropoda, Insecta, Diptera, Syrphidae. The record is from RefSeq and is a predicted model, not a curated record. The transcript is spliced from 4 exons.